GCCAGCGUGGCUCAGUGGUUGAGCGCCGACCUAUGAACCCGGAAGUCAGGGUUCGAUUCCCGGUCAGGGCA
Non-coding RNA from Myotis lucifugus (little brown bat), 71 nucleotides. The record is from Rfam. Lineage: Eukaryota; Metazoa; Chordata; Mammalia; Chiroptera; Vespertilionidae.